GUACUAGGAUGGGUGACCUC
RNAcentral lists this small nuclear RNA (20 nucleotides) under Arabidopsis thaliana (thale cress). RNAcentral's name for it is "snRNA_04936". The record is from RNAcentral. Lineage: Eukaryota; Viridiplantae; Streptophyta; Magnoliopsida; Brassicales; Brassicaceae.